RNAcentral lists this ribosomal RNA (243 nucleotides) under uncultured bacterium. RNAcentral's name for it is "partial 16S ribosomal RNA". It matches the Rfam family "Bacterial small subunit ribosomal RNA", at positions 15 to 248 of the family's 1533-position model. The record is from RNAcentral.
GAUCCUGGCUCAGAUUGAACGCUGGCGGCGUGCUUAACACAUGCAAGUCGAACGCGAAAGUGGCUUCGGCCACGAGUAGAGUGGCGCACGGGUGAGUAACGCGUGGAUAAUCUGCCUCUGCAAUCGGAAUAACGACUGGAAACGGUCGCUAAUACCGGAUACGCUUAAGUUUUACCUCUUAAGGAAAGAUGACCUCUAUUUAUAAGUUAUCGUGCAGAGAUGAGUCCGCGUCCCAUUAGCUUG